Cercocebus atys (sooty mangabey) is the source of this 1576-nucleotide long non-coding RNA. RefSeq lists it as uncharacterized. The record is from RefSeq and is a predicted model, not a curated record. NCBI's taxonomy places the organism in Eukaryota, Metazoa, Chordata, Mammalia, Primates, Cercopithecidae. The transcript is spliced from 3 exons.
UUCUUUGACCUUGCGGGAAGCCAGGUAGAUGUCCUCGGUGGAGCCCAGCUCUUUCUGCAACCAACAAGUCAAGUGGACGGUUGAGGUGUGUGUUCCCUAAUCCUCCUCUUACCCACCCCGCAACAGCCACCUCCUACCAAUCCAGGAAUGCUCCUGGCGUGAGGGGAAGGGGGAAGAAAAAGACAGGAGAGAGAGGAGGGGGGCUAAUGGCUAGCUUUAAGAGAAGGUAUCUGGGACUUUUCCAUAGGCUCCAAUGGGUUGGGGAAGGACACUGAGGAGUCCCCCAACCUUUCUUUAAGAAAUUAUCCAUUCUGGACAAUGAGGGAAGGGGCUGUGUCAGCGGGUCAGGGCAUGACUGAUCCCUGUGGCUUUGGGCAAUGUGAUACAACCUACCGUGUCUCCCACAGAAUCAACUCCCACUCCCACUGCCCAACCCAGAGGCCUUCCUCAGGCUUAUGCUGAGAAGCUGGUUGCAAACCCCCAGAGGGAACAGCUACUGACUCCUAGGGACUUUAGGCACAGCCCAAGAUGCCCAGGUGGAGAGCAUCCACAAGUUCAGAGCCCACCCCCAGCUUCUAGCAUCUGCCAGAAGGACUUGAGGCUCUUCGAGGAGGUAUAACUGAGGUCCGGAACCAGAAAGCGUUGCACUUGUCCAACAUACCAAUUAGGAUUUUAACUACAUCAACAUCUGACUAUGCAAAUGAAAACAGUAGCAAGAAUAGCUGGAAAAUAAUUGUCUACUUGGCUUUGGAAUGCAACAUAAUGAAUCGAGAGCCAAUUUAUCUCCUUUAAGGGCAAGUGGCUCAAACUCAUACUGAAAGUUAAGUAAAAGCUUAAAAUUAAAAAUUAGUAUGUUAAUGUAAGGCCUUCUUAUUAACUGAUGUAAAUUUAAAUUUGUUUCUCUGUGUUUCUCUAUCCAAGGUCAAUAAACUAUGGUAAACCAGAAGGCCUUAGGCUCUGACAACCUUAUCCAGCAACCUCAUGAUUGAAUGGUCAGGUUCUACACAUCAGUGGUCAGCAAACUUUCUACAAAGGGCCAGAGUAAAUAUUUUAGGUUUUACACACCAUGCACAGUCUCUGUCACUUAUACUUGUGUUUAAUGUUUAAAAUGUAAAAAUUAUUAUUAGUUCACGGGCCAUACACAAAUAAGCUGGAGGACUGGAGUCAGCCCAUGCACAAUAGUUUGCUGACCCUCGUUCUAUGUUAAUGUGUUUAAAUUCCCCAUCUAUCCAACCCAUACAGUGGAUCGUCGAGAGUCGAGAACAUGCCCAAUACACCUGUGCUGGCUGUCCAAGAGAAUAAUCACUAGCCACGUGUCAUGUGGCUAUUUAAAUUUAAAUGAAACAACCUUUAAGGUUCAAUUCCUUGGUCGUACUAGCCAUGUGUCAAGUACUCCAUAGCCACAUUGAACAGUAACGAAAUGGCACUUUUUUCAUUAGCUUAGAGAGUUCUGUUGGACAGUGCUGCCCCAGACUCAUUUGGGGAUGACUAGGUUGUGAAAGGGAGCUGAAGUUUCGCUGGUGAGACCAGAGAGAGAUGAGGAAGGUGGAGGAAGACAGGGCAAAGGCUGGCCACU